GGUGGCUCAGUGACAGAGUGUGUGCCUUGCAUGCAUGAGGUCAUAGGUUCGAUUCCUAAGCCA
This 63-nucleotide transfer RNA is filed under the name Dipodomys ordii (Ord's kangaroo rat). It matches the Rfam family "tRNA". From Rfam's summary of the family: Transfer RNA (tRNA) molecules are approximately 80 nucleotides in length. Their secondary structure includes four short double-helical elements and three loops (D, anti-codon, and T loops). The record is from Rfam by way of RNAcentral. Lineage: Eukaryota; Metazoa; Chordata; Mammalia; Rodentia; Heteromyidae.